Molecule: ribosomal RNA, 253 nt
Filed under: uncultured bacterium
Lineage: Bacteria
Description: partial 16S ribosomal RNA
Rfam family: Bacterial small subunit ribosomal RNA
Source: RNAcentral
GACGGAGGGGGCUAGCGUUGUUCGGAAUUACUGGGCGUAAAGGGCGCGUAGGCGGAUUAGUAAGUUGGAAGUGAAAGCCCGAGGCUUAACCUCGGAACUGCUUUCAAAACUGCUAGUCUUGAGUGAAGUAGGGGGUGAUGGAAUUCCUAGUGUAGAGGUGAAAUUCUUAGAUAUUAGGAGGAACACCGGUGGCGAAGGCGGUCAUCUGGACUUCAACUGACGCUGAGGCGCGAAAGCGUGGGGAGCAAACAGG